AUAGCAUAAUGUUUAGAAAUCUGUGUAUCUGGAACAAACAUUUAUUUAGUAGACGGGUACAUGUUACUCGGGUACUGUGAUUAUCAUAUCCAAUAUGAAAUUUCAUAUGGAAUUGAAUAUAAGGAGUGUGUUUUUAGUAUAAAAAGUCAAAAGGAAUUAAUAUUUUUAAUGUUAAUUUAAUGUUGUUCUACCUACAAUUCAGUGUAGUGUUAUUGAAAGUGACGUAGCAUGUAUGAAUUCUGUUAAAAACAAGAAAUGCUUAGUAAUUGAAGGAAAUUGGGUACUAUGAUAAUCUUCUAUGAAUCAAUAAAUCCAAUAACAGGCGUGAUGACGAUAAAGCAGUUGCUAUUAAGAGGAAAACUAAAAAUAAAGUAAAACAGGGUUAUACGUAAUUGGAAAUCGGAUUUACCUUUUAUUAAUUUUUAAGGUCCCUGAGGAAUAUAUGUCAGGGGAACGACGAAAGCAGCAAAAGCUGCCAAAAAAAGAUCUACGUUUAGUUUCGACAAUGGACAUAAAUUAAAGUCCCAUUUAAUGUUUAAUAAUUUCUAACUUAAAAUAAAUUUAAGGUGAUAGCACUUUCGUAUUACUUCACGUUAAAGUAUUAUAGAAAAAAUAUGCCUCAUUCCGCUUAUCAAUGAAUGAUUAGUUCCAUGCGCUCUACACAUCUCAAUGACGUGCACUAAGUAGGAAGUUAUGACUUCAUUAUCUGCCUCUUAAAUUAAGGGAAACAUUAUCAUGGUUUGAGGGGCACUGUGUUAUGAAAAGGUUGAUAAACUUUAAACUUUUAAACAACGCAACGUUGAUACUGUAAUUUCGAAUCUCUUCUCUGUGAUUUCUGACGCAAUACGUAGGCAAUUCGCAAUCGCUAAUUGUUGUGUGUUAUUACGCAAACCGAAGUAUUUGAGAUAGAUGAUAACAAUCCUUUAUCUUUAUAUUUCGCUAACGGGGUGUGUUGACGUUUAUGCAUUUGGUGUAGAUAUAUUUUGUCAAUUUUUUCGUAGUUUUUUAUGUUUUAAAAUCGCUUCUUCAUUGUAUGAUUCUGUUUUGAUGCAGUCUUUUAAAAUGCACUAAUAAUAUGCCUACACACACACAACCACACGCAACACCCAUCUACAUACCUAAAUAAGUGCAAAAUAAUAUAAAUUUCCCAUUUUUAUUUUAUAUUUAUUAUUAAAUAAUGGUGAGGUACUUGUAUUUAUUUUGUUUUUGUGAAUUUCAUAAUAUCAACCGAAUUAAGGGAAGUCUUUGGCUCCGUUAACACAGAGAAUCAAACUAGUAAAGAAGCCAAGGAUAUAUAAUUAAAUAAUCAAAAUACAGGAUUAUAAAAAUUAAAACAAAUUUAUAUCAAAUGUAUUUGUAAAACUAUAUGUGAACUGUAAUAUUGUGUUUUGAAUAAAUAAAAUAAAUAGAUAUGUUGAUCAAAAAAUUAUCGUUUACUGGGCGCUUUAAAUUCUGACAUAUAUUUUUUUCUGUAUUUUGAAAUGUAAAUGUUGCUUUAUGUAUUUUUAUUAAUAUUUUAUUAAGAUGGUGGCGUCACUUCGGCGUAUGUUGAUCACGUAGUAUUUAUGAAAAGUUCUAUAUUACAAUAAUACUAGUAUAGUUAUUAUUGUUGUUAUUAUCUGUGGUAAUAGGUAGUACGUAUUAUGUAAUUGUUGCAGUACUUUAAUUGUUAAAUAUCAUAUCAAAUGUUAUUACUCAUUUUAUUCGUUGUUUUUCACUUACAUUCGAAACAAUCAUAAUUCAAAGAUUGCUUCGUAAUCUAAGUUCAGAGGUUAUUUCGAAAUGUUAUUUUAAACACCAGAUUUUAAUAAAGCAAAAAGUGCGUCUUGUAGGACACUCGGGUUGUAAUAUAAUACCUAUCUCGUUCUAGACAGUAGAAAAACAGAUGUUUUAAUUUAAAAAGCCUGUUCUGUCCUAGGAUACUCAAAUAUUAUGUCCAGACUUUCAUUUUUGCACAUGUCUCAUGCAGUUUAAACCACUUAGAAAUGUGUGUAUUUUAUGGGAUAGAAAAGUCGAUCUUAAAAUUAAUUUCCACUAUAGUUAAUUCUAGUAACCUUGCAUCCGUCGAAUCUCAAGCUUUGUCAACUUCGUUCAACAAUUUGCUCGAAGUAAAAAAAAAAUCUCUUUGCUCUUGCGCUACUGCCGCUGCUCAUACAAAACCUACCACGGACGUGUCGGAUUACAUUCUUAUUGCGUACAAUACCGUCAAACAAAUCAAAGUCAUCGGUCGCAUUUAAGUUACGCUUAUCAUAAUUUUAUUAACAUAAUUCGAUAACAGCAAGCAAGUAAUGAUAAAAAUUGGACACUUAUGAAUGAUAAAGAUUGUUAUACCUGACCUUUAAAAAUUUUAACAUAUACUUGGAUAAUUAAACAUGGUAUUAUACUAUUGUAAUGUAGCAAUUUGAAUAAAAAUGUUAUGACUACUGAUAUAACAGCGAUAUCAGAAAUUGCAUUAGGUACUUUAGCAGAUUUAUAUUUGUCUAGUUUUAAAGUUUGUCAUUUGAAAAUACGAGCCUUCGUAAGUCUGCAUGGCACUCUACUUUAGAGUAGAGCUUGUUCACGCUAUCCUCAUUUCAACGACGUCGCUACCUGAUAAAAAAAGCUAUCGAGGGGCAGCGGUAACUAUAUAUUUUAUCUAUGCAGCAGUCAAGAGGUCGCAACUCAUUUGCCUAAAUAACUGUUAACUGCAAAUGAUUGCAUCUUAUAUUCUGUUAAUUACGCCUUAAUUUAAAUAUU
Molecule: long non-coding RNA, 2736 nt
Organism: Papilio polytes (common Mormon)
Lineage: Eukaryota; Metazoa; Arthropoda; Insecta; Lepidoptera; Papilionidae
Exons: 3
Source: RefSeq, a predicted model, not a curated record